UCGCUCCUACCGAUUGAGUGAUCCGGUGAAUUAUUUGGACCGUGGCGUUGGGUCACACCGACAGCCAUGGGAAGUUUUGUGAACCUUAUCACUUAGAGGAAGGAG
Molecule: ribosomal RNA, 105 nt
Filed under: uncultured eukaryote
Lineage: Eukaryota
Description: partial small subunit ribosomal RNA
Rfam family: Eukaryotic small subunit ribosomal RNA
Source: RNAcentral